This 72-nucleotide transfer RNA is filed under the name Bos taurus (domestic cattle). It matches the Rfam family "tRNA". From Rfam's summary of the family: Transfer RNA (tRNA) molecules are approximately 80 nucleotides in length. Their secondary structure includes four short double-helical elements and three loops (D, anti-codon, and T loops). Further hydrogen bonds mediate the characteristic L-shaped molecular structure. tRNAs have two regions of fundamental functional importance: the anti-codon, which is responsible for specific mRNA codon recognition, and the 3' end, to which the tRNAs corresponding amino acid is attached (by aminoacyl-tRNA synthetases). tRNAs cope with the degeneracy of the genetic code in two manners: having more than one tRNA (with a specific anti-codon) for a particular amino acid; and 'wobble' base-pairing, i.e. permitting non-standard base-pairing at the 3rd anti-codon position. RNAcentral also lists the same sequence under 5 other names. Lineage: Eukaryota; Metazoa; Chordata; Mammalia; Artiodactyla; Bovidae. The record is from Rfam by way of RNAcentral.
UCCCUUGUGGCUCAGCUGGUAAAGAAUCUGCCUGCAGUGCAGGAGACCUGGGUUCAAUCCCUAGGUUGGGAA